Molecule: long non-coding RNA, 1656 nt
Organism: Dermochelys coriacea (leatherback sea turtle)
Lineage: Eukaryota; Metazoa; Chordata; Testudines; Dermochelyidae
Exons: 3
Source: RefSeq, a predicted model, not a curated record
CAAAUAGUUCACCUGAUUUCAUUGGUAAUAGUAUAUUUGACACUAGCCCUAAUUUUACCUACAUUUAGCUUCAUAUCUUGGUUUUUAAUGCACUAAUACACAAGUCACUAUCACUAAAAUACAUUUAUGGGAUGGAAAUGUUUUUGGGUACAGUUGAUUUACCAUGAAAUUAUGUCCUCAGUUGUCAUUAGCUUAUAAAAUGCAAAGAUUUAUGCCAGAGUUAUUUCAAGUUGAUUGGUUUCAUAGUAGAUAAAGUCCAAUAUAUCUCAGUAGAAGAAAUCUUGUGAGUUCUCGCUGUAUGUGCCCAGAGUGGGGAGCUAGUCUAAAAUCCCUAUCACUAUAAUGCUAUCUUUAGGAAAAAGAUCAUAAAAUAGGGAAAAGACUAGUUGUUCCAAAAACUUUUGGAUCUGCUUUUGGGGAAUUUUCUGUUAGAACAGCAUGAUUUUAAUACUGAUGUUUCAUAAGGAAUCACUUAAAGGGGGAAGUUUCUAGAAACUGAAUAGCACUAACUAAACUGAUAGUAUACUGUAUUAUGAAUACCAUGGUCUUCUUUCUGGCAAUAUUUUUGUUUGUCUAAAUAUUGGUAUGCCUCUUAUUAGACAUUCAUGUACUUAACUGCUCUGCUUGUUGAAUAACUUGGAUAUUUCAGGAUUAUCAGCUAGUGAUCAGGGAUCAUACUAUGUUUCAUGUAGUUAUCUAAGCACACUGCAGUUGUUGAGUUGAAAUAACAUUUAUCUUCAGUAUUGACCAUCCUGCAACUACGAUCUCUGAUUAAAGGAUUGUAGAUGGAGUAACUAAUUAAUAACUAAGGCCUGUAGACUAGUGAUUACAUUGUGCCUAUGCUUUGUGUAAAAUGGAAUUCCAUCAAUAUUGUAAUUUAAUUUAAGACUGUUCUAAAAGAGUACUAUGAUCUGAUAGCUUCAGAUAUCAUCUUUAGGGUAAAAAAAAUCAUUGCAGUAUCUUAGUAGUUAUUUAAAUAUUAUUUGUCCAUUAAAUUCUUCAGAGGACAUCACAAAAUUAAAACCAUGUAUCAAAUCAUAUUUCCAGCUGCCAUAAAUGAUAUCCUUUAAUGAGCAGUCCACCCCAAUAUGAAGAAAAAACACUAUAUCCAUCAAGUUAACUGAGCUAUGUGUGUGUUUUUAUGUAUACAUAAUAUGUAUAUAUUUAGAGCUUGAGUAGCCAGGGCUUGAAAAAUCCACUUGCAAGAUGAUUAGAAAACUUUCUUGGCUGAUUGCCAUCUUCUUCAGCAUCUAAACUUUUAACAACAGUUCUAGCGCUUAUGGUUGUAAAAGUAAUUUAUCAAUAGAGGUUAAGGUGAUAAGUGCUCUUCCAAACUUGACAGAGGGCUCCACUGCCUUCAUUGCUGCAGGCAGAGUGCAAAUGACCAGGAUUCUUGUCAGUUUCCACUGCCAUGUUUCAUAUGGUUGUUUCCAGCAGUAAAACUAACAAGGAUCUUGGUCAGUUUUAUUCUGGUAUCACUUUUGGAAGCUAUGAGCAACAGCAGAAGCAGGCAUUGCAACUGUUCUCUCGGAAGAGAGGAUUAAAGGCUGGAAGGAAGAAUUCAGACAGAAAAAUAUGAAUGAUAAUUGAGAGUUGUUUAGGAACACUUUACUAGAUGCUCAAAAAGCCACAAUCAAAGAAGAAGGCUGUCUUGAU